Molecule: ribosomal RNA, 439 nt
Filed under: uncultured bacterium
Lineage: Bacteria
Description: partial 16S ribosomal RNA
Rfam family: Bacterial small subunit ribosomal RNA
Source: RNAcentral
CUACGGGGGGCUGCAGUGAGGAAUAUUGCACAAUGGGGGGAACCCUGAUGCAGCAACGCCGCGUUGAGGAUGACGCAUUUCGGUGUGUAAACUCCUUUUAUAUGUCAAGAAAAUGACGGUAGCAUAUGAAUAAGCACCGGCUAACUCCGUGCCAGCAGCCGCGGUAAUACGGAGGGUGCAAGCGUUACUCGGAAUCACUGGGCGUAAAGGACGCGUAGGCGGGUUGGAAAGUCAGGUGUGAAAUCCUACAGCUUAACUGUAGAACUGCGCUUGAAACUUCUAAUCUAGAGUAUGGGAGGGGGAGAUGGAAUUAGUGGUGUAGGGGUAAAAUCCGUAGAUAUCACUAGGAAUACCUAAAGCGAAGGCGAUCUCCUGGAACAUUACUGACGCUAAGGCGUGAAAGCGUGGGGAGCAAACAGGAUUAGAUACCCGUGUAGUC